RNAcentral lists this ribosomal RNA (324 nucleotides) under uncultured eukaryote. RNAcentral describes it as "partial 18S ribosomal RNA". It matches the Rfam family "Eukaryotic small subunit ribosomal RNA", at positions 1470 to 1796 of the family's 1831-position model. The record is from RNAcentral.
CCCUUAGAUGUUCUGGGCCGCACGCGCGCUACACUGAUGCAUUCAACGAGCCUAUCCUUGACCGACAGGUCCGGGUAAUCUUUGAAUCUGCAUCGUGACGGGGAUAGAUUAUUGCAAUUAUUAAUCUUCAACGAGGAAUGCCUAGUAGACGCGAGUCAUAAGCUCGCAUCGAUUAAGUCCCUGCCCUUUGUACACACCGCCCGUCGCUACUACCGAUUGAACGUUUUAGUGAGGCAUUUGGACCGACGCAUCUCAGUUUAACCGCUGGUUUGUGUUGGAAAGACUUCCAAACUUGAGCGUUUAGAGGAAGUAAAAGUCGUAACA